GUGGGGGAUAUUGCACAAUGGGGGAAACCCUGAUGCAGCAACGCCGCGUGUGGGAAGAAGGUUUUCGGAUUGUAAACCACUGUUCUUAGCGAAGAAACAAAUGACGGUAACUAAGAAGAAAGCUCCGGCUAACUACGUGCCAGCAGCCGCGGUAAUACGUAGGGAGCGAGCGUUGUCCGGAUUUACUGGGUGUAAAGGGUGCGUAGGCGGGCCCGCAAGUCAGACGUGAAAGCCACAGGCUCAACCUGUGAAUUGCGUUUGAAACUGUGGGUCUUGAGUGAAGUAGAGGUAGGCGGAAUUCCCGGUGUAGCGGUGAAAUGCGUAGAGAUCGGGAGGAACACCAGUGGCGAAGGCGGCCUACUGGGCUUUAACUGACGCUGAGGCACGAAAGCGUGGGUAGCAAACAGGA
This 409-nucleotide ribosomal RNA is filed under the name uncultured bacterium. RNAcentral's name for it is "bacterial SSU rRNA". It matches the Rfam family "Bacterial small subunit ribosomal RNA", at positions 354 to 777 of the family's 1533-position model. The record is from RNAcentral.